Molecule: transfer RNA, 125 nt
Filed under: Pseudomonas taiwanensis
Lineage: Bacteria; Pseudomonadati; Pseudomonadota; Gammaproteobacteria; Pseudomonadales; Pseudomonadaceae
Description: tRNA-His
Source: RNAcentral
GGGAAAGGUGCGCAUCGGCCAGCGCAGCGGAGGGUGACUCCGUGCCCGAAACGCUUGAGAGAGCUCUCCGGAGGGCUUGAUCUAGCGCUGGGCUGUACAGGUAUCAAAUCCUGUCUUUCCCACCA